UACGUAGGGUCCAAGCGUUAUCCGGAAUCACUGGGCGUAAAGCGUGUGUAGGCGGCGUGUUAAGUGCGAUGCGAAAUCCUGUGGCUCAACCAUAUGGACUGUAUCGCAUACUGGCAUGCUAGAGGAUGGCAGAGGCAAGUGGAAUUUGUAGUGUAGCAGUGAAAUGCGUAGAUAUUACAAGGAACACCAAUGGCGAAGGCAGCUUGCUGGGCCAUAUCUGACGCUGAGACACGAAAGCGUGGGGAGCGAACAGG
RNAcentral lists this ribosomal RNA (254 nucleotides) under uncultured bacterium. Its description in RNAcentral is "partial 16S ribosomal RNA". It matches the Rfam family "Bacterial small subunit ribosomal RNA", at positions 524 to 776 of the family's 1533-position model. The record is from RNAcentral.